Molecule: ribosomal RNA, 298 nt
Filed under: uncultured Staphylococcus sp.
Lineage: Bacteria; Bacillati; Bacillota; Bacilli; Caryophanales; Staphylococcaceae
Description: partial 16S ribosomal RNA
Rfam family: Bacterial small subunit ribosomal RNA
Source: RNAcentral
GUGCCAGCCGCCGCGGUAAUACGUAGGUGGCAAGCGUUAUCCGGAAUUAUUGGGCGUAAGGCGCGCGUAGGCGGUUUUUUAAGUCUGAUGUGAAAGCCCACGGCUCAACCGUGGAGGGUCAUUGGAAACUGGAAAACUUGAGUGCAGAAGAGGAAAGUGGAAUUCCAUGUGUAGCGGUGAAAUGCGCAGAGAUAUGGAGGAACACCAGUGGCGAAGGCGACUUUCUGGUCUGUAACUGACGCUGAUGUGCGAAAGCGUGGGGAUCAAACAGGAUUAGAUACCCUGGUAGUCAAGGGCG